CCUACGGGAGGCUGCAGUAGGGAAUAUUGCUCAAUGGGGGCAACCCUGAAGCAGCCACGCCGCGUGGAGGAUGAAGGUCUUCGGGUUGUAAACUCCUUUUAGUAGAGAAGAUAAUGACGUUAUCUAACGAAUAAGCACCGGCUAACUCCGUGCCAGCAGCCGCGGUAAUACGGAGGGUGCAAGCGUUACUCGGAAUCACUGGGCGUAAAGAGCAAGUAGGCGGGAUGGUAAGUCAGAUGUGAAAUCCUAGGGCUUAACCAUAGAACUGCAUUUGAGACUGGUAUUCUUGAGUAUCGUAGAGGGAGGUAGAAUUCUUGGUGUAGCGGUGAAAUGCGUAGAGAUCAAGAGGAAUACUGAUUGCGAAGGCGACCUGCUAGAACAAGACUGACGCUGAUGCGCGAAAGCGUGGGGAGCAAACAGGAUUAGAUACCCCUGUAGUC
This 440-nucleotide ribosomal RNA is filed under the name uncultured bacterium. Its description in RNAcentral is "partial 16S ribosomal RNA". It matches the Rfam family "Bacterial small subunit ribosomal RNA", at positions 338 to 795 of the family's 1533-position model. The record is from RNAcentral.